RNAcentral lists this long non-coding RNA (263 nucleotides) under Coffea arabica (coffee). Its description in RNAcentral is "long non-coding RNA (CARA_LNC001258)". Lineage: Eukaryota; Viridiplantae; Streptophyta; Magnoliopsida; Gentianales; Rubiaceae. The record is from RNAcentral.
CCAUGAACCUUAGCUAAUUUUUUGAUAACUCUGGAAAGGACAUUUUUCAUUCAUCAUCUUAUUAAAGUGAGAGUUCAGAUUCCACAACCAAUUUUUACUUCAUACUUCCAUCAGUUCUUUCGUUAAUAAAUUUCUUCAAGAAAUGUAUUCUCCAUUAAAAGGCUUCUAUUAACUGAUAUAAAAGGAAAAAUCAUUCAAUUAGCUUUUAAUCUUUGGUUAUAUCGAGCUGAAGAGUUUUAAUUCAUCUCAAAAUCAAGCACGUG